This 497-nucleotide ribosomal RNA is filed under the name uncultured bacterium. Its description in RNAcentral is "partial 16S ribosomal RNA". It matches the Rfam family "Bacterial small subunit ribosomal RNA", at positions 28 to 507 of the family's 1533-position model. The record is from RNAcentral.
GAUGAACGCUGGCGGCGUGCCUAAUACAUGCAAGUCGAGCGAACGGACGAGAAGCUUGCUUCCCUGAUGUUAGCGGCGGACGGGUGAGUAACACGUGGAUAACCUACCUAUAAGACUGGGAUAACUUCGGGAAAACGGAGCUAAUACCGGAUAAUCUUUUGAACCGCAUUGUUCAAAAGUGAAAGACGGUCUUGCUGUCACUUAUAGAUGGAUCCGCGCUGCAUUAGCUAGUUGGUAAGGUAACGGCUUACCAAGGCAACGAUGCAUAGCCGACCUGAGAGGGUGACCGGCCACCCUGGAACUGAGACACGGUCCAGACUCCUCCGGGAGGAAGCGGAGGGGAACCUUCGGCAUUGGGCGAAGGCCGGACGGAGCAACGCCGCGUGAGUGAUGAAGGUCUUCGGAUCGUAAGACCUGUUGAUUAGGGAAGACCAGAGGGGUAAGUAACUGUUCACAUCUUGACGGUACCUAAUCAGAAAGCCACGGCUAACUACGUG